AUAUUGGACAAUGGGCGAAAGCCUGAUACAGCCAUGCCGAGUGUGUGCAGCAGGUCUUCGGAUUGUAAAGCACUUUAAGUCGUGAGGAUGGGGUUGAAGCUAAUAACUUCAAUCUUUGACGUUACCAACAGAAUAAGCACCGGCUAACUCUUUCCCAGCAGCCGCGGAAAUACAGAGGGUGAAAGCGUUAAUCGGAAUUACUGGGCGUAAAGCGCGCGUAGGUGGUUCGUUAAGUUGAAAGUGAAAGCCCCGGGCUUAACCUGGGAAUUGCUUUCAAAACUGACGAGCUAGAGUACGGUAGAGGGUAGUGGAAUUUCCUGUGUAGCGGUGAAAUGCGUAGAUAUAGGAAGGAACAUCAGUGGCGAAGGCGACUACCUGGACUGAUACUGACACUGAGGUGCGAAAGCGUGGGGAGCAAACAGG
This 423-nucleotide ribosomal RNA is filed under the name uncultured bacterium. RNAcentral's name for it is "partial 16S ribosomal RNA". It matches the Rfam family "Bacterial small subunit ribosomal RNA", at positions 361 to 776 of the family's 1533-position model. The record is from RNAcentral.